RNAcentral lists this ribosomal RNA (114 nucleotides) under uncultured bacterium. RNAcentral describes it as "partial 16S ribosomal RNA". It matches the Rfam family "Bacterial small subunit ribosomal RNA", at positions 1369 to 1482 of the family's 1533-position model. The record is from RNAcentral.
CGUUCCCGGGUCUUGUACACACCGCCCGUCACACCAUGGGAGCGGGUUUUACCAGAAGUGAGUAGCCUAACCGCAAGGGGGGCGCUUACCACGGUAGGAUUCGUGACUGGGGUG